RNAcentral lists this unclassified non-coding RNA (612 nucleotides) under Pseudomonas aeruginosa. Its description in RNAcentral is "partial contains 16S ribosomal RNA, 16S-23S ribosomal RNA intergenic spacer, and 23S ribosomal RNA". The stretch from base 157 to 230 matches the Rfam family "tRNA". The record is from RNAcentral. Lineage: Bacteria; Pseudomonadati; Pseudomonadota; Gammaproteobacteria; Pseudomonadales; Pseudomonadaceae.
UUUUAUUUAGGUUAUAAAAGUUUCCCCGUGGGGAAUUACGAUGUCGUAAACAAGGUUGCCGUAGGGGAACCUGCGGCUGGAUCACCUCCUUAAUCGAAGAUCUCAGCUUCUUCAUAAGCUCCCACACGAAUUGCUUGAAUCACUGGUUAGACGAUUGGGUCUGUAGCUCAGUUGGUUAGAGCGCACCCCUGAUAAGGGUGAGGUCGGCAGUUCGAAUCUGCCCAGACCCACCAAUUGUUGGUGUGCUGCGUGAUCCGAUACGGGGCCAUAGCUCAGCUGGGAGAGCGCCUGCUUUGCACGCAGGAGGUCAGGAGUUCGAUCCUCCUUGGCUCCACCAUCUAAAACAAUCGUCGAAAGCUCAGAAAUGAAUGUUCGUGGAUGAACAUUGAUUUCUGGUCUUUGCACCAGAACUGUUCUUUAAAAAUUCGGGUAUGUGAUAGAAGUAAGACUGAAUGAUCUCUUUCACUGGUGAUCAUUCAAGUCAAGGUAAAAUUUGCGAGUUCAAGCGCGAAUUUUCGGCGAAUGUCGUCUUCACAGUAUAACCAGAUUGCUUGGGGUUUAUAUAUGGUCGAAAAACCCGGAUUGUUUGGGGGUUAUAUAAUGGGCGACCAA